RNAcentral lists this ribosomal RNA (468 nucleotides) under uncultured bacterium. RNAcentral's name for it is "partial 16S ribosomal RNA". It matches the Rfam family "Bacterial small subunit ribosomal RNA", at positions 28 to 507 of the family's 1533-position model. The record is from RNAcentral.
GACGAACGCUGGCGGCGUGCUUAACACAUGCAAGUUGAACGGAAAGGCCCUGCUUUUGUGGGGUGCUCGAGUGGCGAACGGGUGAGUAACACGUGAGUAACCUGCCCUUGACUUUGGGAUAACUUCAGGAAACUGGGGCUAAUACCGGAUAGGAGCUCCUGCUGCAUGGUGGGGGUUGGAAAGUUUCGGCGGUUGGGGAUGGACUCGCGGCUUAUUAGCUUGUUGGUGGGGUAGUGGCUUACCAAGGCUUUGACGGGUAGCCGGCCUGAGAGGGUGACCGGCCACAUUGGGACUGAGAUACGGCCCAGACUCCUACGGGAGGCAGCAGUGGGGAAUAUUGCACAAUGGGCGGAAGCCUGAUGCAGCAACGCCGCGUGCGGGAUGACGGCCUUCGGGUUGUAAACCGCUUUCGCCUGUGACGAAGCGUGAGUGACGGUAAUGGGUAAAGAAGCACCGGCUAACUACGUG